Molecule: ribosomal RNA, 744 nt
Filed under: Yarrowia sp.
Lineage: Eukaryota; Fungi; Ascomycota; Dipodascomycetes; Dipodascales
Description: LSU rRNA
Rfam family: Eukaryotic large subunit ribosomal RNA
Source: RNAcentral
UGCCUCAGUAACGCGCGAGUGAAGCGCGCAAAAGCUCAAAUUUGAAACCCUCGGGAUUGUAAUUUGAAGAUUUGGCAUUGGAAAAAGCUAACCCAAGUUGCUUGGAAUAGUACGUCAUAGAGGGUGACAACCCCGUCUGGCUAACCGUUUUCCAUGUAUUGCCUUAUCAAAGAGUCGAGUUGUUUGGGAAUGCAGCUCAAAGUGGGUGGUAAACUCCAUCUAAAGCUAAAUACUGGUGAGAGACCGAUAGCGAACAAGUACUGUGAAGGAAAGGUGAAAAGAACUUUGAAAAGAGAGUGAAAUAGUAUGUGAAAUUGUUGAUAGGGAAGGAAAUGAGUGGAGAGUGGACGAGGUUUCAGUGCUCCCUUGGGAGCACGUACUGCCAACUCUCGAGUCAACGUCAGCGAGACGGGGUGUAUAAACGGGUUUCUUCGGACUCCCACCUACUCCNCCCCACUGCCGUCGUCGACAUAAUCCACCCAUUUCACCCSUCUUGAACCACGGACCAAGGGGUCUAAGGGAUAUGUGAGUGUUAGGGUGGCAAACCCCAGCGCCCAAUGAAAGUGAAUGAUUCGUCCAGAAUCGACCGAACUUGAUUUUUAUGACAGUUUUGAGUAAACACAUCCAUUGGGACCCGAAAGAUGGUGAACUAUGCCUGAAUAGGGUGAAGUCAGAGGAAACUCUGAUGGAGGCUCGUAGCGGUUCUGACGUGCAAAUCGAUCGUAGAAUUGGGUAUAGGCGAAA